UACGUAGGGGGCAAGCGUUGUCCGGAAUUAUUGGGCGUAAAGAGCGUGUAGGCGGUCCGGUAAGUCAGCUGUGAAAGUCAAGGGCUCAACCCUUGAAUGCCGGUUGAUACUGUCGGGCUAGAGUCCGGAAGAGGCGAGUGGAAUUCCCGGUGUAGCGGUGAAAUGCGUAGAUAUCGGGAGGAACAUCAGUGGCGAAGGCGGCUGUCUGGCCCAAUACUGACACUCAGGUGCGACAGCGUGGGGAGCAAACAGG
This 253-nucleotide ribosomal RNA is filed under the name uncultured bacterium. RNAcentral's name for it is "partial 16S ribosomal RNA". It matches the Rfam family "Bacterial small subunit ribosomal RNA", at positions 524 to 776 of the family's 1533-position model. The record is from RNAcentral.